Molecule: long non-coding RNA, 959 nt
Filed under: Vitis vinifera (wine grape)
Lineage: Eukaryota; Viridiplantae; Streptophyta; Magnoliopsida; Vitales; Vitaceae
Description: long non-coding RNA (VVIN_LNC007497)
Source: RNAcentral
UUUUUUCCAUUACUGAGGCUGAGAUCCUUUUCGUUUUUUCUACGACCUUUAGGUAAUUCCUUUCAUUUUCUGGGUUGCUUUCCCCUUUCCCGUUCCUUAAAUUUCCCCAGAAUUUUUCUGAACUUUUCCGGCUUGUUUCGUUAUGGAUUUGGUAUGUUUUUUUACCUAAUUGUCGAUGAUAUUCUUGCUACUGUUUCUUGGCCAAUAUUUUUUUUAACAAUCCGUGUUAUGGGUUUUUGGGAUUUCUGUUUGGUUGCUGGGAGAGUGGCAGCUAAGAGAAGUAAGCUGAAAGGUGGAACAUUAAUUUUGCCCUUUAACCACUAUUGAUUUGUCUUGAUUUGUUUCUUUUUCUUUAUGAAAUCAAUGUUUGAUCUUUUUUUUCUUGGCAAUUAGUGAGGAUUAUUGUUUGUUCUUUUUCUUUGGGAAUAUGGACUGACAGAGGAGAAAUAGAGACAAAAUAGGAAAAAAAAAACAUUGGGAAAAGUAGCCAGAAAAUGGAAACUACAUGGAACCUUUUAGAAGAGAACUCUUAGGCUAUGUUUGGUUCCCGGAAAAUUUGAGGGAAAAUGCGAGGGAAAGAAAAUACAAAGGAAAAGUAGAAGGAAAGAAAAAGUGAAGGAAAAUAAAAAAAAUAGAUUAAAAGUUGAUAAAUUAUUUUUUUUGUUACUUCAAACACAUUUUAUUUAUUUUAACUCAUCAAUAUAAAGAUUAAAUAAUUUAUAAAUACAUAAGUUUUUAAUUAGUUUUAAUUAUAUUUGAUUUUCUUUGAUAUUUUUCAUAGGACAACCAAACAUGAAAAAAUCAUUUUCCUUAGCAUUUUUUUUCUUUCCUUUGUACUUUCCGGGAACCAAACAUAGCCUUAAGGUAAAACGUGUUCGACCUCACUACAGUGGAGCGGAGAUAGAUGGAUUCGGAUUCGUAGAAAUCUCUUGAAUGUGAGUACCCAAUAAUCUAUUCCG